CAGGACGACAAAUCACUUCCGACUCCCCUACCGGUGGCAUAAGAACUGUGCCACCUGAGUACAUUUCUCAACGUUAAAAGGGGAGCAUUAUGGGAGACGGAGUUUUAGCCUCGGUGAUUUAAAAACACAAAAGGGGCGUUUUAUCCAUACAAUCAUCAUCUAUAACCGCAUUGCCUGGGCAGGGUCGCGGGGGGGUGCUGGAGCCUAUCUCACUCACAAGUCCUUAGAAGGUGACGUGUUACGCACAAUGGAUUUCAGUGAUAUUGUUACAAACUUCUCAGCUUGAAAAUCAAGAAAGAAGAGCUUCAAAAUCGGUGCACUGUUUAGCUGUAAUCUGGUGGGACGCAUCAUUGGGAUUUGUGGCUGUGAUUAUCUGGUUGAGGUGUGCACCUGCAGAUUUAUGCAUCUAUUUCAUGCUCACCAUCAAAAUGGUCUCAUCAAAAUGCCACCCAAGCCAUGACCAAACACCUGGAAUUCUGUACCUGGGACACACCUUACGCUCCAGACUGGAUCUGCUGAGACCUAACUGAUGUAGGACUUUUCCACGGAGACAGAAGAAACAAGGUCAGUGUAAAGAAGAGACGCGACAGCUGGAGAAACGGUACUCCCCAGAAACUAAAAAAGGACACUGCAUGUGGAUACCUGUGAGGGUUAAAGAAAGAACCUGACCUCUCUCCAUCACAGUGA
Molecule: long non-coding RNA, 687 nt
Organism: Anguilla anguilla (European eel)
Lineage: Eukaryota; Metazoa; Chordata; Actinopteri; Anguilliformes; Anguillidae
Exons: 3
Source: RefSeq, a predicted model, not a curated record